GACGAACGCUGGCGGCGUGCUUAACACAUGCAAGUCGAACGGAAAGGCCCUGCUUUUGUGGGGUGCUCGAGUGGCGAACGGGUGAGUAACACGUGAGUAACCUGCCCUUGACUUUGGGAUAACUUCAGGAAACUGGGGCUAUUACCGGAUAGGAGCUCCUGCUGCAUGGUGGGGGUUGGAAAGUUUCGGCGGUUGGGGAUGGACUCGCUGCGUAUCAGCUUGUUGGUGGGGUAGUGUCUUACCAAGGCUUUGACGGGUAGCCGGCCUGAGAGGGUGACAGGCUACAUUACGACUGAGAUAAGACCCAGACCACUACGGGAGGCAGCGGUGGAGAAGAUUGCACAAGGGGCGGAAGCCUGAUGUAGCAAAGCCACGUGGGGGGUGACGGCCUGCGGGUAGUGAAGCGCAGUCGCCUGAGACGAAGCGUGAGUGACAGUAAUGGGAAAAGAAGCACCGGCUAACUACGUG
This 468-nucleotide ribosomal RNA is filed under the name uncultured bacterium. Its description in RNAcentral is "partial 16S ribosomal RNA". It matches the Rfam family "Bacterial small subunit ribosomal RNA", at positions 28 to 507 of the family's 1533-position model. The record is from RNAcentral.